Molecule: ribosomal RNA, 207 nt
Filed under: uncultured bacterium
Lineage: Bacteria
Description: partial 16S ribosomal RNA
Rfam family: Bacterial small subunit ribosomal RNA
Source: RNAcentral
UGCGUAGGUGGCCUUUUAAGUUGGAUGUGAAAUACCCGGGCUUAACUUGGGGGGUGCAUCUAAUACUGGAGGGCUAGAGUGCAGGAGAGGAAAGCGGAAUUCCUAGUGUAGCGGUGAAAUGCGUAGAUAUUAGGAGGAACACCAGUGGCGAAGGCGGCUUUCUGGACUGUAACUGACACUGAGGCACGAAAGCGUGGGGAGCAAACA